RNAcentral lists this ribosomal RNA (579 nucleotides) under uncultured bacterium. RNAcentral describes it as "bacterial SSU rRNA". It matches the Rfam family "Bacterial small subunit ribosomal RNA", at positions 163 to 774 of the family's 1533-position model. The record is from RNAcentral.
CUAAUACCGCAUAAACCUGAGAAGGGAAAGCAGAAAGGCGCUAAAAGAGGAGCCCGCGGCCGAUUAGCUAGUUGGUGAGGUAAAGGCUCACCAAGGCGGGGAUCGGUAGCCGGCCUGAGAGGGCACACGGCCACACUGGCACUGAAACACGGGCCAGACUCCUACGGGAGGCAGCAGUGGGGAAUCUUGCACAAUGGAGGCAACUCUGAUGCAGCGACGCCGCGUGAGCGAUGAAGCCCUUCGGGGUGUAAAGCUCUUUCGGCAGGGACGAUAAUGACGGUACCGGAAGAAGAAGCUGCGGCUAACUACGUGCCAGCAGCCGCGGUAAUACGUAGGCAGCGAGCGUUGUUCGGAAUUACUGGGCGUAAAGAGUGUGUAGGCGGUGAUCUAAGUUCGGUGUGAAAUCUCCCGGCUCAACUGGGAGGGUGCGCCGGAAACUGGAGUGCUUGAGCGUGGGAGAGGAAAGCGGAAUUCCUGGUGUAGCGGUGAAAUGCGUAGAUAUCAGGAGGAACACCGGUGGUGUAGACGGCUUUCUGGACCAAAGCUGACGCUGAGACACGAAAGCGUGGGUAGCAAACA